UCAAAUGUUAGAAUGUUCUAAAAGCUCUUGAAGUAAUAGUGAAUACACACACACAAGCCAAGUUCUAAAACUAGAUGUCACAGGCACGGGUUCACUGGGAAUUUGUUUCUUGAAACAGGAUUCGAUAUACCAAAGUCUCCUGGAAUACAUGUAUAUCAUCUGGUUAUAAAGCAGCUGUCACUUAAGCACUAGCUUGUUUCACAGGCUGCAAUACAAGGGGAGAGGAGGAAAGGGAUGAACGCUCGGUGAUUUGAUUUUCCCACAGCAAGGAAUUCAACAGGAUAAGAAGAUCAGAAAUGCAUGCAGUGUUGCAGCAUUCCACCAAUAUAUGUGAUUUGAUCACGUGAACAUCAGCAGUUUCUCCAAGUAACCUAAUAUCGGUUAUCCUCUUUGGGGAUGUUCAAGAUGACACCAAGUGUGUGGAGGGAACCAGAUGAUAUAGUUGAUGGCAGAGUUGUCAGGACUCAGAGCUGCAGGAGGAAUAGGGUGAAGAGGAACCUUGUCAAAUUCCACAAAGACUAAUGUAAGGUUCUGCAAAAACAAAUGCAAAGAUCUGCAAAGACAAUGUGAAGUUCUAUCCAUGGAAAGCAGAACCUCUAGCAAUGUUACAGGCUGGGAAUGGACUGGUUGAAGGCAGCUCUGUGGAAAAGGUCUUGGGAGUUAUCAUAGGCAGUAAACUGAGCAUAAGUCAGCAACGCACACUGGCAAGAACCAACAAC
This is a long non-coding RNA of Anas platyrhynchos (mallard), 719 nucleotides long. RefSeq lists it as uncharacterized. NCBI's taxonomy places the organism in Eukaryota, Metazoa, Chordata, Aves, Anseriformes, Anatidae. The record is from RefSeq and is a predicted model, not a curated record.